GACGAAGGAUCCAAGCGUUGUCCGGAUUUACUGGGUUUAAAGGGUGCGUAGGCGGUUUAUUAAGUCAGUGGUGAAAGCCUGUAGCUUAACUAUAGAAUAGCCAUUGAAACUGAUCAACUUGAGUACGGCUGAGGUGACUGGAAUGUAACAUGUAGCGGUGAAAUGCUUAGAUAUGUUACAGAACACCGAUUGCGAAGGCAAGUCACUAAACCGUAACUGACGCUGAGGCACGAAAGCGUGGGGAGCAAACAGGAUUAGAUACCCUGGUAGUCCACGCCCUAAACGUUGAAUACUCGGUCUUGGCGAUAUACAGUCAGGGCCCAAGCGAAAGCGUUAAGUAUUCCACCUGGGAAGUACGAUCGCAAGAUUGAA
RNAcentral lists this ribosomal RNA (372 nucleotides) under uncultured bacterium. RNAcentral's name for it is "bacterial SSU rRNA". It matches the Rfam family "Bacterial small subunit ribosomal RNA", at positions 524 to 898 of the family's 1533-position model. The record is from RNAcentral.